AUUUCAGGUAGAGGCGCAAGAAUCAUGAGUAAAUCUUUCGACAUGGUAAGGCAUGAGUGAAGAAGAUUGAAAGGGAGGAUUGCCGAAGAGCUUAUUAUCCUUACAGAUAAGACUCUGGGCAUGCAGUGAAGAAUUGUAUGACUGUCAUCGCAAGAUGGAGGGCUACUUUGAUU
Regulatory RNA element from Clostridium sp. CAG:632, 173 nucleotides. It matches the Rfam family "Lysine riboswitch aptamer". Rfam says of the family: Riboswitches are metabolite binding domains within certain messenger RNAs that serve as precision sensors for their corresponding targets. Allosteric rearrangement of mRNA structure is mediated by ligand binding, and this results in modulation of gene expression. The record is from Rfam. NCBI's taxonomy places the organism in Bacteria, Bacillati, Bacillota, Clostridia, Eubacteriales, Clostridiaceae.